CACGUCCAUCUCCUCCAGCUGCGCCACGGUGUCUGGCAGGCAGGUGUUCAUGGUCUCCCACAGCGGCACGAAGGAUACGGCGGCGACGGCGGCGGCCAGACCGAACACCACGGAGACGGCCCACGGGUGUGUUGGCUCCUGUGGGACGUGGCUCAGGGCACUCAUGAAGAAUGGGGCGAUGAAGGCGCCGAUUCGGGAGGAUAUCAUGCCGGCGCUCAUGCCCUGUGUCCUGAUCUCCGUCGGGAACAGUUCAGACGUGUAGAGGAACAUGACGCUGAAGGCGGCGGUGGAGGAGAGCUUCCCGAUCAUCACCAAUGUUAUGGACAGCCACUUGAGGCCUAGUGGGGAUGGAGGGAAGGUUUCAGUUCCGAAGUGGAGGAACUUUGAUCUUGAAAGAAGCAAGUAGUCAGCAA
Molecule: long non-coding RNA, 413 nt
Organism: Scylla paramamosain (green mud crab)
Lineage: Eukaryota; Metazoa; Arthropoda; Malacostraca; Decapoda; Portunidae
Exons: 2
Source: RefSeq, a predicted model, not a curated record